CGAAAGAGAAAAGUUUAUUUUGAUUUUUAGAGGGAAUUUUUUUUUCUCUUAAUUAAAAUUCACAUUUUAAAUCAAUCAUAUUAAUUUGGCCUUUUAAUUAAGUUAAUUUCUUGAUUUAAUUGUGAAGAUUGUCGCUUAUUAUAAAUUCGCUAAUUGUGUUUAUCUUAAUUCUUUCUUAAAUCAAUCUGAUUUGAAUUGAAUUUUUGAUUAGUGUUAAUCUUUUUCUUUCCGCCAUCUUGAUUUAUGUCAAAUGUUUUCUUUUGAUGUUAAUUGAGAUUAGAUUUUUAAUUUUUGUUUUUCUAUUAAUUAACUUUAUCUAAUCAUUGGUGAUCCUUUUUGAUUUUCUUCUUGAUUUCCCAUUCCCACUUUUAAACUUUGGGCUGAGAUUAAAUUGUGAUAAUGAUCGCAAACAACUACAACUCAUUUCUUUUCAUCAACUUUAACCAUGUGAUUAGAUGUAAUUUCUGUUAAUCGUGAUUCAAUCAUAUUGGUGAUCAAAAGAUAAAUCAUCAUAAUCUGAUACCAGAAGAAGAGGAAUCAUGUGCUCAAAAAUUGAUCUUCCAACGGUUUGAUUACUAAUUAGAUUAAAAUUAAAUCUUCAUCUUUGUUUUUCUUCCCUUUUUUUAGGCGCCAUUUUAUCCGUUACACUUUGUCUUCCUUUUCCUUUGUCUCUACCUAAUAUGUUACUAUGGAAACUUGGAAGAUUUUGGAGCCAAAGUGAUCAUUUUAAUUUAGAAAAGAAUAGAAUUUAUUUUAUCUAAAUUUCUUUUCUCAUCUGUAAUAUCAAUACCCUUUGGAUAAAUUGUUAAUAUCUUGUUAGAUAUUAUUGACUUGUGAGGGUAAAAAGUGCCUCAUUAACAUGGAUAAAAGUGAUUAAAGUUAAUCACACCCAUUUCUACGUAUCAAUUAAACAUCAUCCUCAGUGUGUAUGUUAUGUAGAUGACGAUUUCUGGUGCUGAUUAAAUCUCUUCAAUCUUGUGGAGACUUGAACAAUCAUUAUGAUUGUUAUCUCAAUCUUAAUCUUCGCCAUCACCAAGACUUGAUCAUCAUAUCGACGUUAAAUUAAUCAUCUCUAACAUUCUCCAAGAUGAAAAUGGAAAUGGAAAAAGAUCUGUUCAACAUUCACUCAAACUGUGAUCAGUCUUUGACAUCAAAUAACACAAAUAAUCAUUGACCUCGAGAGAGUUUUGGGAUUUUAUCUGUUUUAAUGAUCAUCACCAUUCUUUAUCAUCAUAAUAAUCAUAAUCAUUAUCCUCUGACAACCCACGAUUUGGGUUCAAUUGUUGGUACUCAGAUCAUCACAAGUAACUUUAUCAUCGGUAAAAAUCAUCAUUAUCAUCAAUGUAUGAAUCUAUCCAAACAGUAUUACAAAUCAUUUUGAUAUCAAAACCAAACCUUGAUUUGAUUUGAUAGUAAAAAAAAAACUUCCUAAUCAUGACAAUCUUUACACUAAAUCACCAAAGGAGAAAUUGGAAAAGGAUAGAGAUAUCAAAACAACCGAUGAAACUGACAUUCCAACAUUUAAUUUGAUAAUUUGAGCAUAAUCAAAUACACCUACUGACUUUCUCGCAAAUCAAUCGGCACCAUAAAUUGUUCACAAUUAAGGUUAAAAGACAAAUGAAAGACAUUGAUAACAGCGGACAAAAACUGGUAUAAAUAAGUUUGGGAAAUUGAUCGUUAUUGCGACAAUUAACUUUCACGAUGAUAAAAUGAUUACCUUAAGAAAAAAAGUAAAUAUCUUAAUCUUGGUGACAUUUUAUCAAGCAAAGAAAAAGCCAAAGCAGAGUAACAACUUUCACUAAUCAAAUCAUUAUCAUGCCCUAAUUUGAUUAAAUCGUCAAGAUUGAAUAAUCAAGUAUUACCCAUAACCUUAAAGUAAAUCUAAACUUAAAGUUAAACACAAACUGUGUAAUCAAUUUGAUUGGACAAAGUGAUUUACUUUCGCGAUACAAUAGCAAUCGAAGUGGACUGAUACCUGACCCGGACAGACAAACGACCUAUUUCCCGAUGAAAACUUAUUAUUAGGAUUAGAAUACAUGAACAGUGCGAAAAAAUCAAUCAUCUCAGUGAAACAAUCUAAUUAAGCUCAUAAAUCAUUUGGAAACCACAACAACGACUGUAACCACAAACGAGAUAAUCAAGAUACCAAAAGGCAAAAAAGAUUCACCUGAUAAUCUAACUGUAUAUUAAUAGUAUUAUAAUAAUUGUGAUUUAUUUGGUAACACGAUGUGGUGGCCACUUAGAGCUGGAGAUAAGCUAAUUUAUGGUUUGAUUGAUAAGAUGGACUCUGAAUGGGUUUAAUUGUGACUUUGGAUGUAACUUAUACUCACUAAUCUCAAUCAAACAAUGUGAUUUGCUGAAUUUUCAUUAAAUUCAAUAUAAAUUUACAUGUAUAAUCUGAUGCUCCUUGAGACUGGAUAAGUUGAUCAAAAUAUUUAAAAUGUUGUUACAGGGCCAAAGUUGAUGGAUAAUAAUCAUUUUGACUUGCAGAUUACAUAAGAAUCCGGUUGAUUGGAAAGCAUAUAAAACAAUCAAAUGAUGAUUAAACGUCGCAAGAUAAUUAAAUGAUUACGUUAAUGGAAUCAUAUGAUUUGAUAAAAUGAACCUGGCAUCAAAUCAAUUAAAUAAUUUACACAUUCAACACACAUGUACACUUGAUUAGAUAUUGAAGAUCCCACAAUUGAUUAUGAUUACAAUAGACUAUCACAUUGGUACUAUGGACUUUGCAAAAUUUAAUCAAAUCAUCAUCAUUAUCAAUUAUUAUAAUCAAGAUUGAUCAUCCUCACAACUUCAUCAUGAUAAAAUACAAUGAUAUCAAUUGUUAAGGUAAAGUUACUCAGAGGAACUGGAAACAUUGAAGAUCAUGAAAAGAAUGUGACAAACGGCUUGAUGGUGGUGUUGAUGAUACUGAUACAUUGAUGGUUGAAGGCGAUAUGAUGAUGAUGAUGUUAGUUGAUGAUAUCGAUCAAUGAUGAUGUCCUUAUCCUUACAAAAGACUAACAUUCAAUGAUUUGCGUUCGCAGUGAGAUGAUAAAAAAGAGAUCAACCAGCAAAAGUUAACUUUCUCUUUAUCAACAAAUACACACACACAUCAACAGUAUCAAUAUUAUCAACAAUGGACUUAAUCACUGUGAUCAAAAAGCGAUUGGUCCGGAAAUAGUUUUGUCAUGUGAUAGGGGCCAACACUCUGAUCAUACUGAUUAGAAAACAACAGUGAUUUCCAAGAGACUCCAUUUUUAAUGAGAGUCGAUUCUCCAACAAAGUUAUGAAGAUGGCGAGGAAGAUGAAGAAGAAGAAGAAGAAGAUAAAACUCUUCAAUUGACAGAUCAACAUAUACGAUGAAGACCAAGAGAAGAAGAUAACAAGACAAAAGAUACAUAUCAUUCUAAUAUUAUAUUCGACGUGAUGAUGUGAAAGGGAUGACAUAUAAACACAAAACGGAUAAGAUGAUGAUGAUGAUAAGAAGUUGAUAAGAGAAGCAAAAAAGACAGAAAAUGAAUUAAUCAAGGGAGCGGAGGAUAAUCGAACUGACCAAUAAUCAUCAUCAUCACCAUGAUGAGAUAAUGAUAAUAUUAAUGAUCAUCUUUUUAUGUUAUCAGUUUCAUCAUUUACUCAUGUUUUCAUUCAAUAGUCAAUAUUUGAGUUUUUAUAUUGAUGAUGAUAGACAAUCAUGUUCAAAUCUGAUUGUUGGUUUAUGAUUGAUAAUUACUUAUGAACUAUCACCACAACCACAUUAAAUCCUCAUUGCAGUUAAAUCAAGGAUAAUUAAACUAUUUUCUAACAACAAUAGAAAUUAAAUUGUACAAAAGAAACAACAAAAACAACAGAGUAAAAAGAGAUGUUGGAUUUAGGUGUUAAUCAGUUGGAAUCAGAUACAAUUGAAGAUUUGCUGUAGAAGAUGAAAAUUUAUCAUUUACCUCAUCGUCUUCAUUUGAUGCUAUUUAACCUAAAUGCUGCUGAUAACCCACAACAAUUUAAUGUUAUUUUCAAGGAUUUCACUUGAUGUUAUAUUAUCACUCCCGAACCAGAGCAAAGUUAAAAAACAUCGUCAUCAACAACAACAACAAACAUUAUCAUGAUGAUGAUUAUUAUUAUCAUCAUCUUAUUUAUUCCUAUGAUUUUCUGUGCCUUAGGAGCAGAUAGUUAGUGUAAUAAUCAGAUUAUGUCUCCCCUUGAUCAUCCUGCAAUUUACUGAUAACGGAUUUUGCAAAGUUCACUUUCACAAUCUCAUCUUCAUCUGAACAGUUGACGUUUUUUUAUAUGUUACCAUUUACUAUCGAUAAUUUUAUCAAAACUAUUUGUGAACUUUUUUUCAAGUCUAUCCUGUUAUCUGUCUAAUACACUGAAAUUGACGAUUCACUUUUGAUUCAGUUGAUUUGGUUUGAUGAUUCAAUAGUAAUAAUAAUAAUGAUACACAGAUUUAGAUGUGUAAUCAUGAUGAUGAACAGAAAUGAUUCAAAGCUUUUGGUCAAUAUUAAGAUGAUAAUAUUUUCACAUUUAUGAUUCCCAUUGAUGAUAAUGAUGUUGCUGAUGAUCAUCAAUUGAUAAAGUAAAUUAUUUCUGUUUUUAAAGCUAUUACUCAAUGAUAAUAAUUGAUGAUGUUGAUUAAGGUGAGAUUUUGGAUAUUUGCAAUUAACUUUUUGGUUUCGUUAUCAUUUGCCAAUAUAUUAUUAUUAUUAUUAUUACCAUUAUGAGCCAAACUUAUGAUUACAAUUAGUUUUAUAUUAUCA
Panonychus citri (citrus red mite) is the source of this 4730-nucleotide long non-coding RNA. RefSeq lists it as uncharacterized. The transcript has 7 exons. Lineage: Eukaryota; Metazoa; Arthropoda; Arachnida; Trombidiformes; Tetranychidae. The record is from RefSeq and is a predicted model, not a curated record.